UACAGAGGGUGCGAGCGUUGUCCGGAAUUACUGGGCGUAAAGCGCACGUAGGCGGAUAUUUAAGUCAGGGGUGAAAUCCCGGGGCUCAACCCCGGAACUGCCUUUGAUACUGGCAAUCUCGAGUCCGGAAGAGGUGAGUGGAAUUCCUAGUGUAGAGGUGAAAUUCGUAGAUAUUCGGAAGAACACCAGUGGCGAAGGCGACUUACUGGACACAUAUUGACGCUGAGGUGCGAAAGCGUGGGGAGCAAACAGG
Molecule: ribosomal RNA, 253 nt
Filed under: uncultured bacterium
Lineage: Bacteria
Description: partial 16S ribosomal RNA
Rfam family: Bacterial small subunit ribosomal RNA
Source: RNAcentral